This 333-nucleotide RNase P RNA is filed under the name uncultured Marvinbryantia sp. RNAcentral describes it as "Bacterial RNase P class A". It matches the Rfam family "Bacterial RNase P class A". From Rfam's summary of the family: Ribonuclease P (RNase P) is a ubiquitous endoribonuclease, found in archaea, bacteria and eukarya as well as chloroplasts and mitochondria. Lineage: Bacteria; Bacillati; Bacillota; Clostridia; Lachnospirales; Lachnospiraceae. The record is from RNAcentral.
GUAAAUGAUCGCGGCUGGCUGUCCGAAAGGUGUCAGACGAGGAAAGUCCGGGCUUCACAGGGCAGGAUGCCGGAUAACGUCCGGUGGAGGCGACUCCAAGGAUAGUGCAACAGAAAUGAACCGCCUUCUUGGAAGGUAAGGGUGGAAGGGCAGUGUAAGAGACUACCGCCCGGCUGGUAACAGCCGGGGCAUAUGUAAACCCCAUUCGAAGCAAGACCGAAAAAAAGCAUAUGGCGGCCCGUCAGCUUUAGGUAGGUCGCUUGAGCCUGGCGGCAACGCCAGGUCUGGAUAGAUGAUCAUUCAAGACAUAACCCGGCUUAUCGCUCUGCUCAU